This 165-nucleotide ribosomal RNA is filed under the name uncultured soil bacterium. Its description in RNAcentral is "partial 16S ribosomal RNA". It matches the Rfam family "Bacterial small subunit ribosomal RNA", at positions 26 to 191 of the family's 1533-position model. The record is from RNAcentral.
AGGACGAACGCUGGCGGCGUGCUUAACACAUGCAAGUCGAGCGGUAAGGCCCUUUCGGGGGUACACGAGCGGCGAACGGGUGAGUAACACGUGAGCAAUCUGCCCUUCACUUCGGGAUAAGCCUCGGAAACGGGGUCUAAUACCGGAUAUGACCAUGCCAUGCAU